AGUGAACGCUGGCGGUAGGCCUAACACAUGCAAGUCGAACGGCAGCACAGUAAGAGCUUGCUCUUACGGGUGGCGAGUGGCGGACGGGUGAGGAAUACAUCGGAAUCUACUUUUUCGUGGGGGAUAACGUAGGGAAACUUACGCUAAUACCGCAUACGAACUACGGGUGAAAGCAGGGGAUCUUCGGACCUUGCGCGAUUGAAUGAGCCGAUGUCGGAUUAGCUAGUUGGCGGGGUAAAGGCCCACCAAGGCGACGAUCCGUAGCUGGUCUGAGAGGAUGAUCAGCCACACUGGAACUGAGACACGGUCCAGACUCCUACGGGAGGCAGCAGUGGGGAAUAUUGGACAAUGGGCGCAAGCCUGAUCCAGCCAUACCGCGUGGGUGAAGAAGGCCUUCGGGUUGUAAAGCCCUUUUGUUGGGAAAGAAAAGCAGCAGGUUAAUACCACGCUGUUCUGACGGUACCCAAAGAAUAAGCACCGGCUAACUUCGUG
Molecule: ribosomal RNA, 492 nt
Filed under: uncultured bacterium
Lineage: Bacteria
Description: partial 16S ribosomal RNA
Rfam family: Bacterial small subunit ribosomal RNA
Source: RNAcentral